This 72-nucleotide transfer RNA is filed under the name Phakopsora pachyrhizi. RNAcentral describes it as "tRNA-OTHER". It matches the Rfam family "tRNA". From Rfam's summary of the family: Transfer RNA (tRNA) molecules are approximately 80 nucleotides in length. Lineage: Eukaryota; Fungi; Basidiomycota; Pucciniomycetes; Pucciniales; Phakopsoraceae. The record is from RNAcentral.
GUGCACUUAGCUCAGUUGGUAAGAGCUUCAGUCUUGAAGCAGAGGUCCCAGGUUCAAUACCUGGAGUGCACA